Molecule: ribosomal RNA, 206 nt
Filed under: uncultured bacterium
Lineage: Bacteria
Description: partial 16S ribosomal RNA
Rfam family: Bacterial small subunit ribosomal RNA
Source: RNAcentral
CGCGUAGGUGGCCCGUUAAGUGGUCGGUGAAAUCCCGGGGCUCAACUCCGGGGCUGCCGAUCAGACUGGCGAGCUAGAGCACGGUAGGGGCAGAUGGAAUUCCCGGUGUAGCGGUGGAAUGCGUAGAGAUCGGGAAGAAUACCAGUGGCGAAGGCGUUCUGCUGGGCCGUUGCUGACACUGAGGCGCGACAGCGUGGGAGCAAACA